This 85-nucleotide transfer RNA is filed under the name Phycisphaerae bacterium. RNAcentral describes it as "tRNA-Leu". It matches the Rfam family "tRNA". Rfam says of the family: Transfer RNA (tRNA) molecules are approximately 80 nucleotides in length. Their secondary structure includes four short double-helical elements and three loops (D, anti-codon, and T loops). The record is from RNAcentral. Lineage: Bacteria; Pseudomonadati; Planctomycetota; Phycisphaerae. RNAcentral also lists the same sequence under 1 other name.
GCCCGGGUGGCGGAAUUUGGCAGACGCGCCAGCUUGAGGGGCUGGUGGGCUUCGGCCCGUGCUGGUUCGAAUCCAGUCCCGGGCA